This 253-nucleotide ribosomal RNA is filed under the name uncultured bacterium. RNAcentral describes it as "partial 16S ribosomal RNA". It matches the Rfam family "Bacterial small subunit ribosomal RNA", at positions 524 to 776 of the family's 1533-position model. The record is from RNAcentral.
UACGAAGGGGACUAGCGUUGUUCGGAUUUACUGGGCGUAAAGCGCGUGUAGGCGGCUGCGUAAGUCGGGCGUGAAAUCCCACGGCUCAACUGUGGAAGAGCACUCGAAACUGCGUAGCUAGAGUCCUGGAGAGGAAGGUGGAAUACUUGGUGUAGAGGUGAAAUUCGUAGAUAUCAAGUGGAACACCAGUGGCGAAGGCGGCCUUCUGGACAGUGACUGACGCUGAGACGCGAAAGCGUGGGGAGCAAACAGG